GGGCUUCUGGCGCAAUGGCAACGCGUUUGACUUCGACUUCUAUUAGAAAUAAUAGCUGAUUCCGGCAUCAAAAGAUUGCAGGUUCGAUCCCUGCGGGGCUCA
This is a transfer RNA of Sclerotinia sclerotiorum, 102 nucleotides long. It matches the Rfam family "tRNA". From Rfam's summary of the family: Transfer RNA (tRNA) molecules are approximately 80 nucleotides in length. Their secondary structure includes four short double-helical elements and three loops (D, anti-codon, and T loops). The record is from Rfam. NCBI's taxonomy places the organism in Eukaryota, Fungi, Ascomycota, Leotiomycetes, Helotiales, Sclerotiniaceae.